Long non-coding RNA from Bombus pyrosoma, 1726 nucleotides. RefSeq lists it as uncharacterized. NCBI's taxonomy places the organism in Eukaryota, Metazoa, Arthropoda, Insecta, Hymenoptera, Apidae. The transcript has 3 exons. The record is from RefSeq and is a predicted model, not a curated record.
UGGAACGCGCGUCUGGUGGACGUGUGCUUGGCCGCGCGUGUACGGGCCAGUUCGCGUGGGAUGAGCGUGUGAUGGUGCGGAUUGACGUCGGUGUGCGCGCCCACGCCACACACCACGCACCGUUCGUGUUCUCCACACCGGCUUGCCCGACUAUAGGAUCAAUAUAAACGAUGACAUAGCGAGAGCUCAUCUUUAAGCCACGCCUGCGAGGCCGCGAGCGCCAAUGCAGCUACGAUCCACCGGCCACGCGGCCAAUAGGCGGCUAGCAUCGAUUUUUCGCGGGCUUUUUUUUCGCGAAAGUGAAUUUCUUCGCGACGCUAACGGGAGUGCCGGGCCAAGCGCAACAGAGAGACACGCGGAGAAACGGUGGGACGAGAGAGAGUAUCGCACGGUGGCGAGGAAGCAGCGAGACAGAGAUGAUACCGUCGAGUGUACGGUAGGGAGAGAACAGGGAUGGAAGUAGAAAUAGAAUGAGGCGCUACGCGCGAGGAUGGUGUAGCAACGAUGGUGCGAGAGAGGGAGUGUAGCAGGGAGUAAAAGAGGAGACGCCCGUGGAGAAGGCGGAGGAUGAGGAUCGAUGAGGACAGGGUGACUCUUCCAGGGGUAAACGAACCCCCAUUUCAUCUACCCUUCGCGCUGUUAUCGGCUGUCCCUUUUUCAAUCGACGGAACCCCUGCUGCUAGAGUAUCGACGUAGCCCGCGAGUUCAUCUGCAUGCGUGGCCUGUUGCCUGUUGCAAGACGCGGCCGCAUCAUGCAGCCACGCCGCGCACGUACACAUCGUUCGUCACGCUUUUUCACGCGCUCGUUCAAACACGCGACACGCGAGCCUGUCGGUCCGCCGAACAUUAAUCCCGGACGUCCGUUGGACAACGAUGGUUCCGCGAGCUAUCCAUGGGCUUUAACAAAUCGAACCGGGCUAUGGGAAAAGAAGAUAUCGCUCGAGAUCAGAUUUCAGAGAAAUGAAAAACAUUAAUAAAAUACUUUCGACGGAGAUAGAAGAAUUUCUCAGACAAUUUGGUUCUUCUUGUCCCGAAGAAGCUGGAGAAUUUGAUAUUCGGAAAUGAAUAUCUGAUAAGAAGGAAGAAGGCGCCAAUACUCGUCUACUCUGCCCUCUAUGACGGUUCGUUAAAACACUCAACACACUAUCGAAAAGGUUCCACGUCUCGAUAGCUCCACAGAUAACUCGAACUAUACUCGUCGUUCGUGGUUUACGGAACACCGCGUCACAUCUUCUGUAAUACCGAUCUUAUUUCGCCCUUCAUAAUUUAUAACAUUUUGUCGAGUACAUGUAUAUAUGUAUGCACAUGUGUACGUACUUCUAUUGUUGAAAAAUAAAAAUGUAAAAACUGUAGUUGUUAAGUUCAAAAAGUUUAAAAAGUUUAAUUACACCUGUAUGUUAAGAAAAAGUCAUCUCCACAUUUAGUACAAAUAGAACCACAGACGAGAUCCUUCGUCCAUCGAUUACCUUUUAUCGUUUAAAAUUAUCGAAACGUUUACAAUAGGCCAUGAAACCAUUAGCUCACACUUUGCAAUGAAAAUGCAUUUGAAGCAUUCCUUCUCACUUUCUUACGUGUACAUCGUGGAGACACGAACAGGUGUACCUUUCCACUUUCAUUUUUUAUUUAUACUAGAAUGGAAAACAAACGGGCAUUCGUUCGCCUAGUUUAAAUGUACCGUAAUAAUAGUUUACGUUCAGAUAAACGAAUUUAAUGACCAGAAGUUUGU